Molecule: small nucleolar RNA, 127 nt
Filed under: Nannospalax galili (Upper Galilee mountains blind mole rat)
Lineage: Eukaryota; Metazoa; Chordata; Mammalia; Rodentia; Spalacidae
Description: Small nucleolar RNA SNORA40 (ENSNGAG00000003219.1)
Rfam family: Small nucleolar RNA SNORA40
About the family: The snoRNA ACA 40 belongs to the H/ACA family of snoRNAs and guides the pseudouridylation of 28S rRNA subunit at position U4565.
Source: Rfam by way of RNAcentral
AGCACUUUGUGUAUGUUUGUUCAAGUGGUGGACAAAGGCAUGAAAGACAGGUACAAAAAUAAAUCCUCUUUUGCAACCCAGAACUCAUCGUUCACUAUGAGUUUUGAUAUGUACAAGAAGAAAUUAU